Molecule: ribosomal RNA, 441 nt
Filed under: uncultured bacterium
Lineage: Bacteria
Description: bacterial SSU rRNA
Rfam family: Bacterial small subunit ribosomal RNA
Source: RNAcentral
CCUACGGGUGGCAGCAGUGGGGAAUAUUGGACAAUGGGCGAAAGCCUGAUCCAGCAAUGCCGCGUGUGUGAAGAAGGUCUUCGGAUUGUAAAGCACUUUCGACGGGGACGAUGAUGACGGUACCCGUAGAAGAAGCCCCGGCUAACUUCGUGCCAGCAGCCGCGGUAAUACGAAGGGGGGGGCAAGUGUUCUUCGGAAUGACUGGGCGUAAAGGGCACGUAGGCGGUGAAUCGGGUUGAAAGUGAAAGUCGCCAAAAACUGGCGGAAGACUCUCGAAACCAAUUCACUUGAGUGAGACAGAGGAGAGUGGAAUUUCGUGUGUAGGGGUGAAAUCCGGAGAUCUACGAAGGAACGCCAAAAGCGAAGGCAGCUCUCUGGGUCCCUACCGACGCUGGAGUGCGAAAGCAUGGGGAGCGAACGGGAUUAGAUACCCCAGUAGUC